Molecule: non-coding RNA, 84 nt
Organism: Malassezia sympodialis ATCC 42132
Lineage: Eukaryota; Fungi; Basidiomycota; Malasseziomycetes; Malasseziales; Malasseziaceae
Source: Rfam
UUCUGCGUAGUUUAGUGGCUAUGACGGGGCCUUGUCAUUGAGACAGCCACGGCCCAGACCCGGGUUCAAUUCCCGGCGCGGAAG